GUUGGAAUAAUGAAAGAGAGCUGGUGUGAUAAGAGGAACUGCAGUUUGGUUUUGUUCCUGGUAAAAUAAAGCACAUGUGGAAGGGGCCGGGGCGAGCAGCUCGGGUUCACGGCGUGUUCGGUGCAUGGGGCAAAACAGGGAUGAAACAGGGAUGGGAGUUGGGAAGGAAGCGAGGGUCCCAGCCUGGCUCCAACAGGGGGAAGGCAAGGGGGGCUCGGAAGACGUUGCUGCCCAUAUGGUGUGUAUUACAAGCUCCUUUCUAGUUGUAAAGAUUAAUUUAAAGCCUUUCUCACCUCCCCCCCAUCCCUCUUGCAGUGACAAAUGAACAUCUGGGCUGAAUGCUGCCCAGAUCCUAAUCAAAGCAUUUUUUCCAGGGCCGUUGUCUGCCUUUAUGGCGAUCUGCUGUUGGGAUUCGCUGCAGUUUCAAUGCACUUGGCAAUUCGAGGCUGUAAAUACCCCUCCCUGGGAUUUAUGAUUCAGGAGAAUGGGAUGGUUCCCCCCCCCUUUCUUUUUGCUGCUUGAUUCGUUUGUUUGGUUUGGUUUAACGGCAUCUUCUUGUCCGUGCAUAAGUUACAGCACGAGGGGAGGUUGGUUUCCCUCCCCUCUUUGCUGUGAGGUAUUAACAAUUAGGUACAAUGGAUUUGCUAAUCCAUCGCUGGUGGAGGUACCAGAGAGCCCCGAAUCCCUGUCGAGCAUCUCCCGGUCAUCCCAAAGCAUCCCUUUUGCUUACAGAGUAGAUGGAGAAAGGAGCUUCCUGCCAAAGGGACGCCGAGUCCUUUCCAUGAUGCUCAAGGGCUUCUUCACCAGGGGAAGCAUAAGCCACAGCCUGAUAUGGAAAAGCCCUUUGCUUCCCAAAAUGAUGCUGAAGCACAUGAUGGAGAUGCUGGAAAAUAAGGAAUGCUGUGGUCCCAUUCCCAUCGGACUCAUUUUUCAACCCUGUGUUAAAGGAUGAAUAUUUGAAGCUUACCUGGGAUGUUGAAUAGUGGUGGUGGUGGUACCCCAGGUACCAUAGGAAAGGACAGUGCUUGAACUGGGGCAAAGAGGUAGGAAAAUCCCUUUAGGACAAACAGAGGGACAUGGUGCAGGGUCCCCUGUGUUGCUCCCGGUCCCUGAAUGAGAACAGAGCUGGGAAACACAAAGAUGAUGGCUUUGGGGUGUAUUCAGAGCAGAUUCAUCCCUGCAGGAAACAUUCCUCCUCCUCAUCCCAGGCUUCUUCCUUUCCCAGGCUGCUUAUUUAUCCCGAUGGAUGCCUCGAGGUGCGUGAUUUCAGGCCAUUUAAACCAGGAAGGAGAGCUCUUGUUUCUACAGCAAGGGCAUGAGGUAAUGGCAAUGGCAAUUGAAGGUGUUCCGAGCGAGCUAAAAAAUCACUGCAGUGCAAAGCACUUUGCUGCUCCUCCUUGGAUCUCCAGGAUGAGGGAUAACCUGAAUCCCAGAGCCUCCUCCGGUGACGCAGGGAUGGGUACCAUCCACCACCAGCACCCUCUCCACGCAGGGAAGCCAAGCUUUGGCUGGGAAAUGGGAAUGGGUUGGGAAUGGUGGGGGCUUACACUGAUUUCCAGCUUGAAGCUGAGGCGACUGUUUCCAUGUGCAGCCAAAACACAUCUUGGUUAUUGCAGGGAGAGCUACACUUUGGGAGCAUCCUUGCUCAGGGUUUGGAGCAGGGACAGGUUAUUCCCCUUCAUGGGCGCUGGGGGUGUUUUUCCCAAGAAACACAGAAUUUCCCUUGAAUAUGAUGAGCCAGGAUGCAGCAGGGGAAUCCUGGAAGGGAUUUGGGGCCAUUUCUGGGGUAGUUAUUAAUACCUUUGAGAUUUUACUGCUGAUUUGGGGAUCGCUCGGCACCUCCUGCCUCUUUUCCAUCCCUUUCCUCCUCAAUAUCCCCUAAGUGCUGACAAUGACCGUGGGUCUUCCCAGUGAUGCCAAUGCUUCCCCAUUGAUCUCAAAGUCAAGGUGAAGCCUAGCUUUGGUCCACAGCUGAGCCAGAACAUCCAUGGGGUGAGAGCAGCCACGGGCAUCCUGAAGGCAGCUUCCAAAUUCCUGCACAGCCAAAUCCCGCCUGGGGCUGCCAGGAAACCUGGCCAGCAACAAGUACGUGCCGUUUCUGUACCCACAACACAGCCAGGAGUGCUGUUACUCUGCUGGUGACGAUGAUGGGAUGGAGCUGCAACCUUCCCGAGGAUGCGAUCCCAUCCAUUCCCGGGCUGCAGCCGGCUCCCUGCUCUUGGUGCUGCCCCGGGGAAGGUGCUCAGUGCAGUGGCAUCAACCUCCCCUUCAUCCUUGCCUUUUAUAAGCCAUAAAAACCCCUCUAUCCCACCCCAGAUUCCCUAAACUUCAUCCUCCCCGUAACCUCCCGCUUUCCCGGCGCAUGGAAGCUCAUCAGCUCGAUUGGCUCCCGCUGGGAUUUACGAUCCCGGGGACUUCCUGCGCUGCCUUUCAACGCGCUCCCCUCCUUCCCGCCACCCAUAAAUCAAAGCUGUUUGUUUCGGGUUGCUCCUUCCCCUGUGUUUUUAUCCCCAUCCCUGCCUCCCUCAGUCCCUGAGAGUUUUGUGGGAUGCUGGAGGUGCCAGAGCAGCCCCGAGGCCACGGUGAGGGCACCCGUUGGGUCUCCAUGUGCAAUGUCCAUAGCUUGGAAAAGGGGAUGGGGAAUGUGUUUGGGAAGAUCCUGCAUUGCUGGUACAGCCGAAACACCGCUCCCCGUGUCUGAACACCACCGGGAUGCAGCCCCGCACCCAGAGGCCCUCAAGGCUUUGGGGCUUUCCGUUGAGUCCAUCCCAACGUGAUCCCAAAGCGAUUUUACGGGAAGCCUUGGGUCGGGAAUCCAGAGCCACGGUGCAUGGGGCUGCACAUGGAGCAUCCUCCUGGCCGUGGCGGGGAUGCGGAGCCAGCUCCAUCCGUGCCCACCCAUGGGAGGCCUGAUCCGGUCUUUCCACUGGUGACUCAUGGAAAAAGCCUUGUUUUGCAGGGGCCACUCGGCACGACGGGCGUUCCUGCCUCACUCCGCUGCUUUUCGACAUCUUCGGCAUGAAAACAUCUGGAAUCCUGACCUUCCUGCGGAGCUUGCCUCACCUGAAGGCAUUCCCCCCCUUCCCUAUACGUGUGCAGGGCUGGCUGCGCACACAAACCGUGCUCCGGCCGCUUGGGAAGCAGCCCGGUCGCACUUCCAGGGUUGAAUUCUUUGGGAAUUACUCUUUCAGAGCAGCUCUCACACAAUGGUGCAGGGUUUGGAGGGUUUCCACCGCCCCGCGCCAGCUCCUUGCGGGCUGCUUUGGGUACAGCGUGUGCCGGGCUGCAUGGGGCCCCCCAAAGCUUCUCUGUAGGGUUUAUGGCACAACCUGGAGUGAUGGGGCUGGGGAUUGAGCCUGGCUUAUUCCAGGUGUCCCAAGGCCAGGGUGGAGCGGGAUCUCGCUGGCUUUAGGGAGCAAGAAGGAUCCACCACUAGAUUUGGGUUAGAACACUGCAAAUGGUGAAUCAUGCUGAUGUGUCACCCCAGCACUGUGCUUCAUCCCAAAUACUUGCUUUUCCCUUCUUUUCCCAGCCGUCCUUCAGAGGGCAGGGAUGGAGCGCGGACCAUUCCUGGUGGGAUCAGCCUAUCCCAGCCCUGUCACAGAGGGAGCCCUGGGCAGCUCUAUAUUUAACUGAAUUGGCUUUCCUCUUGGAGAAGGGGCAUGGAGAGGGCUGCUCCUUCAGUGCUCAUUGCUGUGAGCUUUCCCACCUGACUUCUCACACCUUCACACAGCCCUGACCCUGCUGCUGCUCUCUGGAAAGCAGAUUAAUGGGGUUUUGUUUGGGGGGGGGGUGGUGGUGGUCAGGACAUGGUUUAGUUUGGAAGCUGGGAUGGAAAAUGAUUUCCAACCCCCAAAUUAGAAACAGAAUGAUCCUUGAAGUGCCUUGUUUUGGAGGGGGUGGUGUGUGUCAUCCCACAGCAAUGAGAAGCACGUGCUGAAGAGGAGCAAAGAGCUGUGAUUUAUUUCCUCUUAAUGCUACCCAAAGGACUGGCUCGGCUCCGAGAUGCUGCUCUCACUCCCUUGUUACCCAUCCAUGGGGACGGCUGAGCUGCUGUGGGCAGGGGACACCCAUGUGAUGGGUGGUGCUGGGGGGGGGACCAGACUGUGUCACCCAAUUUAGUUGUUUUUGUGGGGAAAAGGGGAUUGUUUUGUGGGGUAUUUUUGCCCUGCUCUUCCCAAAGGGGUUUGGAUGGAGAGCUGAUGUGAAGUGAUGGGAUAAGAGCCAGUGCUUUGCUGUGAUGGUUUGUCAGUGCAGUGGAUUACAGUGAUUUUGCUGUGGGUUGCUCUAUGGUCUCUAUCUCCCCAAAACCAUCAGGUCCUAUGAGAACUGGGCCAGACUCUCGGAUAAAGAAGCCCUGCUGGGGCAGUAGCUGGUCCUGCCUGCGAUGGGCUCAUCCCUGCACUCACCAGAGUUGCCAAAACCCCCUUACAAAUAACAUACAUCUUUAAAUUGCAAGGAUUUCCCCCAUGGUGGCUGCUCAGGGGCUCAAAGACCCAACUUAAAGCUGACUUGCUGCUGCAGAGGAGCCUUCACCCACUCUAUUUAUUUCUCUUGUUGGGUCUAACAUGCACCCAAAAGCAGUGCUGGAGCUGAGGUGCCCCAUCCUGCCCUUGGGGUGCCCCGGGGUGGGUUUUGUGGGACAUGGAGCCAGUCGCUGGGAUUUAAUAAGACACUUAUUGUAUGUUACGUAUCAAGAGCUGAUAGGAAACGUGUCCCCAGGAUUAACAGCCGUGUAGAAGAUAAAGCAGGGAGUUCAACCUCCAAGGAGCACGUUUCAAAUAACCCACUGUUGCUGCAGCGUGGAAUAACCAGGGUAAGGAGUGGGAUGGGUGAAGGUCAAACCGGUAUCACAGGUCACCAUGUCCCAGGAACCACGGGAUGAGGCCGGUGAUGCCUAUGGAUGCUGGUUAUAGUGCAGGAGCAACGUCAGUUCCGUCUUCUCCCAUUUCUUCCUCCUCUUCCACCUCUCCCCUCUCUUUUUGCUUUUCCCAGGCCCCAAUUUCUCCCCCGUGGAGGCAAAAGCUUUGGCUAAUUAGCAAAACGUGUCAAAGAGAAUGAUGAAUGGCCCGGGAGGAGGUUUAGCUGCCUUUGUGCCUGACUUCUGCUCUUAAAGGGUUUAUUAGACGAUAAGGGAGCUCA
Molecule: long non-coding RNA, 5142 nt
Organism: Pezoporus occidentalis (night parrot)
Lineage: Eukaryota; Metazoa; Chordata; Aves; Psittaciformes; Psittacidae
Exons: 2
Source: RefSeq, a predicted model, not a curated record